GGCUGAGCCUGGAGAAAGCCCGAGCAACGGCCGUUCUCGGACGGGGGUUCGAUUCCCCCCGCCUCCACCA
This 70-nucleotide transfer RNA is filed under the name Persephonella marina EX-H1. RNAcentral's name for it is "tRNA-Gly (GCC) (tRNA-Gly-GCC-2-1)". It matches the Rfam family "transfer-messenger RNA", at positions 306 to 374 of the family's 374-position model. Rfam says of the family: Bacterial tmRNA, also known as 10Sa RNA or SsrA, is named for its dual tRNA and mRNA-like properties. The record is from RNAcentral. Lineage: Bacteria; Pseudomonadati; Aquificota; Aquificia; Aquificales; Hydrogenothermaceae.